UGUGGGAGCUGGCUUGCCAGCGAUGGGGCCAUCAGUCGGAAAGUCAAUUCGCCUGCUGAACCGCUAUCGCUGGCAAGCCAGCUCCCACA
Molecule: unclassified non-coding RNA, 89 nt
Filed under: Pseudomonas granadensis
Lineage: Bacteria; Pseudomonadati; Pseudomonadota; Gammaproteobacteria; Pseudomonadales; Pseudomonadaceae
Source: RNAcentral